GGUUCCCACUAUUGGAAGGUCCGUUAUAAGCAAAGCUCCAUCCCCCUUGAUGACUCUAAAAUCUUAAUCCUAUUUAAACUUUUACAAGACAAACUAAUAUAAAAAGAUUUUUUCUCCAUAAUUUUUGAAUAAUAAAAUAUAAAAUUACCAAAAUUACAUAUCAUAAUUUUAAUGACAUCAUAAAAUGUGCAGGCAGCCGU
RNAcentral lists this long non-coding RNA (200 nucleotides) under Elaeis guineensis (African oil palm). RNAcentral describes it as "long non-coding RNA (EGUI_LNC011670)". The record is from RNAcentral. Lineage: Eukaryota; Viridiplantae; Streptophyta; Magnoliopsida; Arecales; Arecaceae.